Molecule: long non-coding RNA, 2547 nt
Filed under: Mus caroli (Ryukyu mouse)
Lineage: Eukaryota; Metazoa; Chordata; Mammalia; Rodentia; Muridae
Description: predicted gene 10855 (MGP_CAROLIEiJ_G0034486.1)
Source: RNAcentral
UUUCAUGUUCUACUGCUUGCCUAUAUAAACAGCAUCUACAUUAGUCAGAUAUUGGUGCUAGAGAUGUGGUUCAGUUGGGACAGUACAUGCCUACUAUGCAUGAGGUCCUGGGUUCAAUGCUAGUACCACAUAAAUGGGUCAUGGUGGUAUAUGCCUGUAACCCCAGCACUCUGAAAGCAGGAAGACCAGAAGUCAAGGCCAUCUCUUCAGGCCUACUGGGAAGUUGCACAUAACACACAUAACACCAUCCUCUCUUUUUGUACUAUAGAAUAUAAAUCAAUAAUAAUAAUAAUAAUAAAUUUCUUUUCAGUUACUAGCUAUAAUCAAAGGAGAAGAGUGACUGGGUGACAGAAAGCCCUCAUGCUGUUGCUCUCCUCCAUAGACAGAUUUUGAAGAUUGGAAGCCACCCAAGCCCUCCACAAUUCAGUUGUCUUGUGCUCAAGCUUCAAAUGCUGUCAGGGUCUCUUCUAGACGCAGCCAAAUGAUUCUUGGGCCAAAAAAAGUGAAAAAGGCCAUGCUUUCCCAGUUAAAUCAAACUCUAGUCACCUUGAAAGUGGAGCAAAAUCAAUUAUACUCUUCAAACUCCCAUCUCCUUCUUUAUGGGUCCAGCAGUGGAGAUAUAAUGGAUGCUUCACCAAGCCAGCUGGCCAGCCCAAAAGCCAAAAAUCAUUCUAUGUCAGGAGACAUUUUAGAUCCCAGCCCCCAAAUGCCCUGCUCUUUUUACAUAGCAGGUUUUCUUCAGUCUCUGAAUGCUGAACUCAUGGGGCCUGUGGAUUGCUCACAAGGCACCUUUGGCUCCAUGAACCAGGAAAGGCACAGAUGUGAAAAUAAAGUACAUAUGGCCCCAUGCAUGCACACAGUGCCUAGGCCCUGCAGGGGACAUGGCUACCCAAGUCAAGAGCACAGAGUCUCUGAACAAGCAUUCAUGGAGAAGAAAAUCUUUGGAAAAUUUUGCAUGUCACAAAGUAGCAACAGGCUAUUACUAUGCCAGAAAUACUGUCUUAGCUUUAUGGUCUCUUAAAAAGCUGUGUCAUAACAAACUCUUAACCCUUCCCCAUGGACGUUCUGCACCUAUUAUGCACUUUUCUCAUCAUAGUUGUGUGAUCUCUCCCAACUGUGAAAAGAGCGAAGCUUCCAAUCCUUUGAAUAAUGAAGUGGUAGAGCGGGCCUCUGAGACAGAGGUCAGCGGUGCAUGCCUCAGUAGCUGGGGCUUCUUUUGGUAGAAAUCAUGAAAUGAGAAGGCAGUAAGCAAGCUUGGGAUGACAGCAAUAAAGACUCAGGAGGGAUAGUCAGCAGAGAAUAAACUCAGAAGUGCUCUGUGGGGAGUUCCAGAGCCUCUGAGUAUUGUUCCCAGCAAGCAUCUUGACAAGUGUCUGUAGCCACAUCUGUGUAUCUGUCAAUAACUACUUAUAAGGAAGUAGUGAACAUAAGAUGGUUCGGGAAAAGGGAGACAGGGUGUUAUAGUUAUUUAAGUGGCUAUUUUAAAGCUAUAUUUAACCAGACAUUUGUACAAAGUAAUUAUGGCCUAUGGCUUUAUGGGAGACAAGAACAGUUGAAAGAAUUAGGCAAAGAUAGAGCAGAUAAACGAUGCUCAGAUUCUUGCUCACCAUUUGGCCCAUGUGUAAUUAAUUCUCUUCCUCGUCCCUCUAGUUACGCUUCCAGAAUUGUCUCUACACUUGUAAAGGGCUCAGGUUUGGUAUUAGUAUAAGAUACAGCUAGAUACAAACAGAUUGGCGAGCUGGUCCAGAAUCCUGCAUAAUAGCAGCACGGCCAUAAAAAUGCCAUCACCCUCACGCUGCAGGAAGAUAAAGCACAAUGCUCAUCUCGGAUGAACGCUUCGUCUCGUUCUGUCCUCGGGCCACAAUCAAUUGUACAUCAUUAACAAGACACAAAAUCUUUACUAAUUAGCUUUUAUGAUUAUAUUGUUAUUGCAUUGGGGCUUUUCAAGCAUUGGAAAUCGAGCAGAUAGGAUGCACAGAAAAGAGCCCUGUGCAAAGGGGAGGACCAGAAGGGGAGGACCAGGAGCCCACCAGCCCUGUCAUCAUCAGACAUUUUCAAUCCAUUCCCAUCUGUAAUUUUCAGUUCGAUUCACUGUUAAGAUUAAUAUUUUAGUAAGAGACUGACAAGUGUUAGAAGAAAGAGAGAAGAAUAUUGAGUGUGCUUUCUCACCAGACAGAAGUCAGCUGUGGAAGUGAUCUAACAAGAAUAAUUAUUCAUUUUCUCUCUGCUCAAAAUCUUCAAGGCUAUUGAUAAUCCUCCAUAGCUUUGUUACAUGUUGCUCUCCUCAAGAUAUGAAAAAAUAAGAAUUCUCCUAAUUAGGAAGAUAUAUCUUUUAUGCCGGCAUAUAUUUCAAACAGAUCAAAGAUUUAAUUUGAUAAUAUAUAAUAAUAAAUUUACCAAAAGUAUUCAUGAGAAGAUUUAAAUCGUCAUAUGAAACUCGAGCAUCUUAAGAGAAAAAUUAGGUAAAUUCAAUGAUAUAAUUUUUUUUCAGAACAGAAGUGUUUUUUAAUUAGGUAUUUUCUUCAUUUACAUUUCAAAUGCUAUCCC